RNAcentral lists this ribosomal RNA (139 nucleotides) under uncultured eukaryote. RNAcentral describes it as "partial 18S ribosomal RNA". It matches the Rfam family "Eukaryotic small subunit ribosomal RNA", at positions 1299 to 1458 of the family's 1831-position model. The record is from RNAcentral.
UGGUGGAGUGAUUUGUCUGCUUAAUUGCGAUAACGAACGAGACCUCAGCCUACUAAAUAGUUACGCAAGCACUAUGCUUGUGGUCAACUUCUUAGAGGGACUAUAUACGUCAAUUAUAUGGAAGUUUGAGGCAAUAACA